This 428-nucleotide RNase P RNA is filed under the name bacterium. RNAcentral describes it as "RNase P RNA component class A". It matches the Rfam family "Bacterial RNase P class A". From Rfam's summary of the family: Ribonuclease P (RNase P) is a ubiquitous endoribonuclease, found in archaea, bacteria and eukarya as well as chloroplasts and mitochondria. Its best characterised activity is the generation of mature 5'-ends of tRNAs by cleaving the 5'-leader elements of precursor-tRNAs. The record is from RNAcentral.
CGAGCGGGACGGGCGGUCGCCGCGGCUUGUUCGCAAGCCGGGGAGGAAAGUCCGAACGCCACAGGGCAGGGCGCUUCCUAACGGGAAGGCGGAGCGAUCCGACGGACAGCGCAACAGAAAACACACCGCCGAUGGCCCUCCGCAAGGGGGGAUCAGGCAAGGGUGAAAUGGCGAGGUAAGAGCUCACCGGCGCCGUGGCGACACGGCGGCCUGGCAAACCCCGCCCGGCGCAAGACCAAAUAGGGAAGGAUGCGGCGGCCCGCCGCGAGGGCCUUCGCUCCCUGGCUUCGGCCCGGGGCGCAGGCCGAGACUUCCGGGUAGGUUGCUUGAGCGGAUGGGCGACCAUCCGCCUAGAGGAAUGACCGCCGCCCGUCAUCGGCUUCGGCCAAAGGCGGGAACAGGAUUCGGCUUACAGUCCCACUCGCCCA